UCCGGAGUAGCUCAACGGUAGAGCAGGCGGCUGUUAACCGCAAGGUUUAGGGUUCGAAUCCCUACUCCGGAGCCA
Molecule: transfer RNA, 75 nt
Filed under: Chloroflexota bacterium
Lineage: Bacteria; Bacillati; Chloroflexota
Also listed under: 5 other names
Description: Chloroflexi bacterium tRNA-Asn
Rfam family: tRNA
About the family: Transfer RNA (tRNA) molecules are approximately 80 nucleotides in length. Their secondary structure includes four short double-helical elements and three loops (D, anti-codon, and T loops).
Source: RNAcentral